CCCUUAGAUGUCCUGGGCUGCACGCGCGCUACACUGAUGUGUCCAGUAAGCACCUAACCUAUUCCGAGAGGAGCGGGUAACCUUAGCAAAGCACAUCGUGAUGGGGAUAGAUUAUUGCAAUUAUUAGUCUUGAACGAGGAAUUCCUAGUAAGCACAAGUCAUCGGCUUGUGUUGAUUACGUCCCUGCCCCUUGUACACACCGCCCGUCGCUCCUACCGAUUGAAUGUUCCGGUGAGCUCUUCGGACUGCGCGGUCUGCAGUUUCUGCGUUCCGUGCGGAAAGUUGUGCAAACCUUAACAUUUAGAGGAAGGAGAAGUCGUAACA
Molecule: ribosomal RNA, 324 nt
Filed under: uncultured eukaryote
Lineage: Eukaryota
Description: partial 18S ribosomal RNA
Rfam family: Eukaryotic small subunit ribosomal RNA
Source: RNAcentral